This 463-nucleotide long non-coding RNA is filed under the name Dasypus novemcinctus (nine-banded armadillo). RNAcentral's name for it is "lncRNA (ENSDNOG00000051040.1)". Lineage: Eukaryota; Metazoa; Chordata; Mammalia; Cingulata; Dasypodidae. The record is from RNAcentral.
CCGCGCCCCCUCGUGACCCCGUCCGCCCUCGUGGCCGCGCCCGGGCUGCACCACGAUUGGGGGUCAGACUCCCCGCAGAGGUUCCUGAGUUGGAGCCUUGAAUUAAAAACCAUUGCAACCUACCCUCCCCGCCCUAAUGAAAUCUACCACAGGUACUGGUACCACAUUGCCCAGAACAGGUGAAAUAUUUUCAAUGUCUUACUGGAUCGCUGAUGCCCUAGCUCAAUCUGCAGUAAAGCUGAUAAUGAUGCCCAUCUCAUUCCUGCAUCUACUUCUCAAUCGCUUCCUAAUCCAGAGAGGCGCACUCUGAUUAUCACCAUGGAAUUAGGAGAAGUCAGUAAUAACAAUUAUCAUCUUGAUAAGUGUCUAAGAAGUACUGGAUGCCCUGUACGUACAAAGCAGAUUACCUGGCACUGUACGAGACAUUCAUGCAGUAAAACACAAACCUAUGACCUCAGGGAGU